RNAcentral lists this ribosomal RNA (253 nucleotides) under uncultured bacterium. RNAcentral's name for it is "partial 16S ribosomal RNA". It matches the Rfam family "Bacterial small subunit ribosomal RNA", at positions 524 to 776 of the family's 1533-position model. The record is from RNAcentral.
UACAGAGGGGGCAAGCGUUGUUCGGAAUUACUGGGCGUAAAGGGCGCGUAGGCGGUGCUCUAAGUCGGAUGUGAAAACUCUGGGCUCAACCCAGAGCCUGCAUCCGAAACUGGAGUGCUAGAGUUCUGGAGGGGGUAGCGGAAUUCCAGGUGUAGCGGUGAAAUGCGUAGAUAUCUGGAGGAACACCGGUGGCGAAGGCGGCGUUCUGGACUGCUACUGACACUGAGGAACGAAAGCCAGGGGAGCAAACGGG